UUGGGUUGUUCUGUUGGCAGAUUGUAGUUGUGGAGGUUGGAUGAGGUUACGAGCUCGGACAGUGAUUCAGAUUUCUCGUUCCUCCAUCCGCGACUUUUGAAGUUACUUGAGAGGUAGGUUGAGAUGAGUUCCAUCGCACCCGGAUUCGUGUUGUGACAAGAACUUAAAUGGGCAGAAAGAUGGUGUAAAGGCAAGAGUAGUAUGGCUGAGAUAUACAAAAUAGCCGUGGCAGCAACAAUAUAUCAUGUGUGGGAGGAAAGAAACCAAAGGAUAUUUCAGAAGAAGUGUAACAACACUGAUACAAUCUUGCAACAGAUAGCCCAAGAAGUGUAUUUCGGAGCACAUUUGGCUUGUCAAGACCUGUUUUCCUAUUCAUAAACUUGAAGCUUUAAACUGUCAUCCUAUUCGUAAA
Molecule: long non-coding RNA, 412 nt
Organism: Solanum dulcamara
Lineage: Eukaryota; Viridiplantae; Streptophyta; Magnoliopsida; Solanales; Solanaceae
Exons: 3
Source: RefSeq, a predicted model, not a curated record